RNAcentral lists this long non-coding RNA (740 nucleotides) under Lupinus angustifolius (narrow-leaved blue lupine). RNAcentral describes it as "long non-coding RNA (LANG_LNC001349)". The record is from RNAcentral. Lineage: Eukaryota; Viridiplantae; Streptophyta; Magnoliopsida; Fabales; Fabaceae.
UCAUAUUCUAGUUAUCAAAACACUUCUCUAAGAGUGUAAGAGUUUGAGGGAAAAGAUUUCAAAAUGGAGAGAGUCUCUAAGCUGUUCCUGAUCCUGGCCAUUAUGGUUUUGGUCCUUGCUUCAGAUGUUGAAGGAACUGGAAGAAAACUCAAGGAGGAUAAGAAUGUUGAUCAUCCCCAGAAUUUCAUUGGAGGCAUUGGUGGGACUGGAACAUUUCCAGGACCUGGUUUCACUGGAGUGGGUUUUGGUCCAUCCAUCUUUUGCACUUACCCGGGUGGCUGCACCCAAACUCCAACCCUACCCUUUAUCCCAAGUGCUGGAGGGUCCCCACCACAUGCAUAGAGAGAGGCUAGAAGCGAGUUGAAUUUGAUUCAGAGGGAAAUGAAUAAAAAAAAAAGAUUUUUAAAAUUAUGAGAUAUACUUAUCGUAUAACUCUGAAGUCUUCUAUUUCAUUUUCUUCUUCAAAAUACAAUUUGGAAACGGAUAUUUAAAGUUCAAAGUUGAGAUUAUGAAGUCUUUAGUUGAAUUACCUAGUAAAGUAGAGUGGAACUUAUUAAGCUUUAGUUUGCCUUUCAUUUAUUUUUAUAUGUCUAUGUGUGUGUAUUUAGCUGUUUGUUAAUUCUUGUCUAAGUAUGGGUGUGAUAUCAUGUCUUUUGAGUUGCAGUUUCUACCUGGCUAGUUUUUGCUGUUCUGCAAGUAAUCUUUUUUUCAUGAGUUUAAGUUGGUUGUUUAUGAUUUUU